GCUAGCCUUCUCCCACUCUGCACAGAUUGUCAACUAUGCUGGAUUUUUAUCGGGGUUUUUUCACAUAUUGGCUCCCAAAUGCUGAUACUCUGUGGGAAUGCAUAAAGGUUGAAGAGGACCGAGGCCUCGUUGAGGUGCGUCAACAUGGCCAUGUCCUCCAUCAUGUCGAACUUGGGUGGGUUCGUCGGCUGGAGGUCGUCUUCUUUGAUGAUCACAAACUGAAACAUAUGGAAGGACAACAACGUUUUAUUGAUCAAGUUUGUGUAAAAUUUCUUUCUAGAUUACCAUCAAAGGCCUGGGCCUUGGCCGCAAGUUGCUCCAGGUUGGUGAGACGAAGAUAGCGAGCAGCAUCUCCAAAAUCCUUCAGAUCCAAGAAGCGAGACAUCUAAAGACACACAAGAAAUUGAAGGAGGCGAGAGCAGACUUUGAUGAAGUGAAGGUUAAUGAGCAAGCAGCUGGGUGGAUCGAUCCUCUCCAAGAUAAGAUCAGCCACCAAUGUCACACUACUGUCCUUCCACGAACGACCUUGACACACUGGUGGUUCCCUCCUGCAGCGCUGGGAGGAAGUGAAGCACUGCCGCCCUGCUGGACGUCAACAAAACCCAUCCUCUGCCUCCUCUUCCUCUGCUCCGUCAUCUACGCACAAACACACACGCACACAGUCCAGUUAAAGCGCAAAUGUAAUCUCUCAUGGACUUUUAAAAAAGUAUGUAUUGGUUUUAUGAAGAAAUCAUCCUGAAAAAAUAUUAUAUAGGUGCACUUUUAGUCAAAAUAUUAGGCACAUUCAAAUUAUUUGGUACACCUAUGGCCAAAAUAAGUACAGGGAAAUUAUUUGGCACACCCAGUUAUGAUGGCAUGGGCUUGAAGACAGGAUCUAAUGAUGACACAAGUUUCAUUCGACUCAGGUUUUAUGCAGACAUUACCUCUAUACACAGUCAAACCUCUGUUUUCGGACGGCCCAGUUUUCGUAUGAUUUGGUUCUCAUUGAAAAUGCCUCCGUUUUUGUGCACAGUCUCCGUUUUCAUACAAACUUCCACAAACUAGUCCAUCUGCCCUGUAUCAUUCAACGAAUUCAGGUGCCCAAACAAAGCACCCUAGGCAUUGCUGACUCACUGUCAAUGCAUUUUUGAGUUGAGUAGGACUGCUAACUAACAUGCCAUGGGGCCAAACAAAGUUGUGUGUGCCAGCACAAGGGUGAAGCAUUAUUGUAAUUUUCAGUAUUUCAGUAUGCAAAGUAUGUAUCAACAAUAAGUUCCAUCAAUUCAUAAUUUAUGAAUAUUUUGUAUUGUUUUUUUGUAAGUAAAACUAUAAUUAUUAUCAAUAAAAUGUAAUUUCGUCAAUAUUUUUGGGCAUCUGGAACAGAUUAAUUGGAUUUACAGUAUUUCAUAGGGGAAAAAUUGCCUCGGUUUUUGUACAUUUUUGUUUUCAAGUAACCUUUUAGAAGGAAUUAAUAACAAAAACCAAGGUCCCACUGUGACUGUGAUCUAUGUAGCACUGUAACACUUAUUUGUUGGGAUCCUCCCAAAGUUAAAAUUGUUUUUAAAUAGUCAGUUGCCAGAUUAGAUGUUAGCGACAGGUACCUGCUCAUUUCAAAUUUAUGCUAUAAUUUUUUAGUUUUUUUGUGUAAAAAAGGUAUGUCAAUGUUUUUGAUAGUUUACGUGACCUUACCUGCUCUUUUAGCUCGGUGAGCUGCGUGGUGAGUGUCAUGACAACCUUGGUGGUGGAUGCCAGCUUGUCCUGCAGCAUCCUCAUCUCGUUCUGCUCGCCGUCGCCAUCUGUA
Dunckerocampus dactyliophorus (ringed pipefish) is the source of this 1780-nucleotide long non-coding RNA. RefSeq lists it as uncharacterized. The record is from RefSeq and is a predicted model, not a curated record. NCBI's taxonomy places the organism in Eukaryota, Metazoa, Chordata, Actinopteri, Syngnathiformes, Syngnathidae. The transcript is spliced from 5 exons.